RNAcentral lists this unclassified non-coding RNA (203 nucleotides) under Hevea brasiliensis (rubber tree). The record is from RNAcentral. Lineage: Eukaryota; Viridiplantae; Streptophyta; Magnoliopsida; Malpighiales; Euphorbiaceae.
AGAAGGACCACUUUCGUUGGACAAAUUGUUUACGUAGAGAUUUUACAAUAAACGGGUUGAUGUUUGACCCUUAUUCAAAACUCGUCUAUGAUUACAUGGGAGGAGUGGAUGAUAUCAGGAAAGCUAAAAUACAAACAAUCGGUCCUGCUAGUUUCUCAUUUGUAGAGGAUUGUGCUCGAAUUCUUCGUGCAAUUAGAAUUGCU